AACGAACGCUGGCGGCAGGCCUAACACAUGCAAGUCGAGCGCCCCGCAAGGGGAGCGGCGGACGGGUGAGUAACGCGUGGGAACGUGCCUCUUGCUACGGAAUAGCCUCGGGAAACUGGGAGUAAUACCGUAUGUGCCCUACGGGGGAAAGAUUUAUCGGCAAGAGAUCGGCCCGCGUUGGAUUAGGUAGUUGGUGGGGUAAUGGCCUACCAAGCCGACGAUCCAUAGCUGGUUUGAGAGGAUGAUCAGCCACACUGGGACUGAGACACGGCCCAGACUCCUACGGGAGGCAGCAGUGGGGAAUCUUAGACAAUGGGCGCAAGCCUGAUCUAGCCAUGCCGCGUGAGCGAUGAAGGCCUUAGGGUUGUAAAGCUCUUUCAGUGGGGAAGAUAAUGACUGUACCCACAGAAGAAGCCCCGGCUAACUCCGUGCCAGCCGCCGCGGUAAUAC
RNAcentral lists this ribosomal RNA (450 nucleotides) under uncultured bacterium. RNAcentral describes it as "bacterial SSU rRNA". It matches the Rfam family "Bacterial small subunit ribosomal RNA", at positions 29 to 526 of the family's 1533-position model. The record is from RNAcentral.